Molecule: ribosomal RNA, 253 nt
Filed under: uncultured bacterium
Lineage: Bacteria
Description: partial 16S ribosomal RNA
Rfam family: Bacterial small subunit ribosomal RNA
Source: RNAcentral
UACGGGGGGGGCAAGCGUUGUUCGGAAUUACUGGGCGUAAAGGGCUCGUAGGUGGCCAACUAAGUCGGACGUGAAAUCCCUCAGCUUAACUGGGGAACUGCGUCCGAUACUGGAUGGCUUGAGUUUGGGAGAGGGAUGCGGAAUUCCAGGUGUAGCGGUGAAAUGCGUAGAUAUUGGGAGGAACACCAGAGGCGAAGGCGGCGCACUGGACGGUAACUGACACUCAACUGCGAAAGCGUGGGGAGCAAACAGG